CUACGGGACGCUCCAGCGAGGAAUAUUGCACAAUGGGGGGAACCCUGAUGCAGCAACGCCGCGUGGAGGAUGACGCAUUUCGGUGUGUAAACUCCUUUUAUAUGUCAAGAAAAUGACGGUAGCAUAUGAAUAAGCACCGGCUAACUCCGUGCCAGCAGCCGCGGUAAUACGGAGGGUGCAAGCGUUACUCGGAAUCACUGGGCGUAAAGGACGCGUAGGCGGGUUGGAAAGUCGGGUGUGAAAUCCUACAGCUUAACUGUAGAACUGCACUUGAAACUUCUAAUCUAGAGUAUGGGAGGGGGAGAUGGAAUUAGUGGUGUAGGGGUAAAAUCCGUAGAUAUCACUAGGAAUACCUAAAGCGAAGGCGAUCUCCUGGAACAUUACUGACGCUAAGGCGUGAAAGCGUGGGGAGCAAACAGGAUUAGAUACCCGAGUAGUC
RNAcentral lists this ribosomal RNA (439 nucleotides) under uncultured bacterium. RNAcentral describes it as "partial 16S ribosomal RNA". It matches the Rfam family "Bacterial small subunit ribosomal RNA", at positions 339 to 795 of the family's 1533-position model. The record is from RNAcentral.